ACUGAAAAAUCAAAUAGAGGGAGGAUUUCUUUCUCACGACCAAAACCUCACUGCUCUACACGUCUCUUGACCUUCUCAAUCCAUCGAGGGUUUGUAUUCUCCGCUCGGCUGCUGUUGCAAGUCCUUCAUCUGCUGUUAUCGGUUGUUGUUGCUUAAAAGUUACAGUGGAUAUUCUUUGGCUUCUACUGAACCUCUUGGGCUUGUUCUAAUUUUCUCUGCUUGGAACUUCCCCCUCAGUAGGAGUGUCACUGGAACCAUUGAUAAGAGCCAUAUCAGCAGGGUGUACAGCAGUUAUAAAGCCUUCUGCUAAUGAUAUUGAAACAGAAGGGAAGGAUGGAGGCAUAGAGAUUGAUUCUGCAUUGGAAAAGAACAGCGGCCGAGAUGCAUUUGAACUAGAUGAGGAUAUGAACCUAGAUGCAGAACUUACAUCCAUAUCUGUAGACCUGGAUUUGAAUUUUUAAUUUGAUAGUGCCAAUGAUCUGGAAAAUGAUAAUGAGAAAGAAGGGAAGGCUGGAGGCAUAGACAGUGAUUCUGCAGUGGAAAAGGAUAGAGGCCCAGAUGAUGCUUUUGAACUAGAUGAACAGCUUUCACCUAUGAAAGUUUCAAACCUAGAUACUAAUUUCAAAUUGGAGGGUGUCAAUGGUUCAGAAAAUGGUCUUACACUAGAAAUGAGUGGAGAAGAACACAAGUUUUCUCUUGAGCACUUUGUAAAAUCCAUCAAAUGGCCAAUUGGCUUGAAGUGAGGUAGCUUCUUGUGGCUCUUAUACA
This is a long non-coding RNA of Macadamia integrifolia, 768 nucleotides long. RefSeq lists it as uncharacterized. The transcript is spliced from 3 exons. The record is from RefSeq and is a predicted model, not a curated record. Lineage: Eukaryota; Viridiplantae; Streptophyta; Magnoliopsida; Proteales; Proteaceae.